CGCGUAGGCGGCCUGUCAAGUCGGACGUGAAAUCCCUCGGCUCAACCGAGGAACCGCGCUCGAUACUGGUGGGCUAGAGUCCGGGAGGGGAUGGUGGAAUUCCCAGUGUAGCGGUGAAAUGCGUAGAUAUUGGGAAGAACACCGGUGGCGAAGGCGGCCAUCUGGACCGGAACUGACGCUGAGGCGCGAAAGCUAGGGGAGCGAAUG
Molecule: ribosomal RNA, 207 nt
Filed under: uncultured bacterium
Lineage: Bacteria
Description: partial 16S ribosomal RNA
Rfam family: Bacterial small subunit ribosomal RNA
Source: RNAcentral